CUCAGGAUGAACGCUAGCGGCAGGCUUAACACAUGCAAGUCGAGGGGCAGCGGGAUGUAGCAAUACAUUGCCGGCGACCGGCGGAUGGGUGCGUAACGCGUAUGCAACCUACCUAUACAGGGAAUAACCUUUCGAAAGGGAGACUAACACCCCAUAGUAUUGAUUUAAGGCAUCUUAGAUUAAUUAAAUAUUUAUAGGUAUAAGAUGGGCAUGCGUAUGAUUAGCUAGUUGGUAAGGUAACGGCUUACCAAGGCGACGAUCAUUAGGGGUUCUGAGAGGAAGGUCCCCCACACUGGUACUGAGACACGGACCAGACUCCUACGGGAGGCAGCAGUGAGGAAUAUUGGUCAAUGGGCGCAAGCCUGAACCAGCCAUGCCGCGUGCAGGAAGACGGCCUUAUAGGUUGUAAACUGCUUUUACAUAAGACUAACCGUAUAUUUGCGAAUAUACCUGAAUGUAUUAUGAGAAUAAGGAUCGGCUAACUCCGUGCCAGCCGCCGC
Molecule: ribosomal RNA, 500 nt
Filed under: uncultured bacterium
Lineage: Bacteria
Description: bacterial SSU rRNA
Rfam family: Bacterial small subunit ribosomal RNA
Source: RNAcentral